RNAcentral lists this ribosomal RNA (468 nucleotides) under uncultured bacterium. Its description in RNAcentral is "partial 16S ribosomal RNA". It matches the Rfam family "Bacterial small subunit ribosomal RNA", at positions 28 to 507 of the family's 1533-position model. The record is from RNAcentral.
GACGAACGCUGGCGGCGUGCUUAACACAUGCAAGUCGAACGGAAAGGCCCUGCUUUUGUGGGGUGCUCGAGUGGCGAACGGGUGAGUAACACGUGAGUAACCUGCCCUUGACUUUCGGAUAACUUCAGGAAACUGGGGCUAAUACCGGAUAGGAGCUCCUGCUGCAUGGGGGGGGUUGGAAAGUUUCGGCGGUUGGGGAUGGACUCGCGGCUUAUCAGCUUGUUGGUGGGGUAGUGGCUUACCAAGGCUUUGACGGGUAGCCGGCCUGAGAGGGUGACCGGCCACAUUGGGACUGAGAUACGGACCAGACUCCUACGGGAGGCAGCAGUGGGGAAUAUUGCACAAUGGGCGGAAGCCUGAUGCAGCAACGCCGCGUGCGGGAUGACGGCCUUCGGGUUGUAAACCGCUUUCGCCUGUGACGAAGCGUGAGUGACGGUAAUGGGUAAAGAAGCACCGGCUAACUACGUG